Non-coding RNA from Potamilus streckersoni, 81 nucleotides. The record is from the annotation of a GenBank genome assembly. NCBI's taxonomy places the organism in Eukaryota, Metazoa, Mollusca, Bivalvia, Unionida, Unionidae.
GUUAUGGAAUCGCGAUAGUUCAGUUGGUAGAGCAUCUGACUCGUACUCUUAAAGUCGUGGAUUUAAUACCUGCCCAUGCCA